GACGAACGCUGGCGGCGUGCUUAACACAUGCAAGUCGAACGGAAAGGCCCUGCUUUUGUGGGGUGCUCGAGUGGCGAACGGGUGAGUAACACGUGAGUAACCUGCCCUUGACUUUGGGAUAACUUCAGGAAACUGGGGCUAAUACCGGAUAGGAGCUCCUGCUGCAUGGUGGGGGUUGGAAAGUUUCGGCGGUUGGGGCUGGACUCGCGGCUUAUGCGCUUGUUGGGGGGGUAGUGGCUUACCAAGGCUUUGACGGGUAGCCGGCCUGAGAGGGUGACCGGCCACAUGGGGACUGAGAUACGGCCCAGACUCCUACGGGCGGCAGCAGUGGGGAAUAUUGCACAAUGGGCGGAAGCCUGAGGCAGCAACGCCGCGUGCGGGAUGACGGCCUUCGGGUUGUAAACCGCUUUCGCCUGUGACGAAGCGUGAGUGACGGUAAUGGGUAAAGAAGCACCGGCUAACUACGUG
Molecule: ribosomal RNA, 468 nt
Filed under: uncultured bacterium
Lineage: Bacteria
Description: partial 16S ribosomal RNA
Rfam family: Bacterial small subunit ribosomal RNA
Source: RNAcentral